This 538-nucleotide ribosomal RNA is filed under the name Olsenella sp. oral clone 19-147. RNAcentral describes it as "bacterial SSU rRNA". It matches the Rfam family "Bacterial small subunit ribosomal RNA", at positions 8 to 553 of the family's 1533-position model. Lineage: Bacteria; Bacillati; Actinomycetota; Coriobacteriia; Coriobacteriales; Atopobiaceae. The record is from RNAcentral.
AGAGUUUGAUCAUGGCUCAGGAUGAACGCUGGCGGCGCGCCUAACACAUGCAAGUCGAACGGUUAAAGCCCCUUCGGGGGUGCAUAGAGUGGCGAACGGCUGAGUAACACGUGGGCAACCUGCCCCCCGCACCGGGACAGCCUCGGGAAACCGUGGUUAAUACCGGAUACUCCGCCUCCCCCGCAUGGGGGCGGCGGGAAAGCCCAGACGACGGGGGAUGGGCCCGCGGCCUGUUAGCUCGUUGGUGGGGUAACGGCCCACCAAGGCGAUGAUGGGUAGCCGGGUUGAGAGACCGACCGGCCAGAUUGGGACUGAGACACGGCCCAGACUCCUACGGGAGGCAGCAGUGGGGAAUCUUGCACAAUGGGCGAAAGCCUGAUGCAGCGACGCCGCGUGCGGGACGAAGGCCUUCGGGUCGUAAACCGCUUUCAGCAGGGACGAGGCCGAAAGGUGACGGUACCUGCAGAAGAAGCCCGGCUAACUACGUGCCAGCAGCCGCGGUAAUACGUAGGGGCGAGGGGGCGUUUAUCGGGGAUCA